UACGUAGGGUGCAAGCGUUAAUCGGAAUUACUGGGCGUAAAGGGCGCGUAGGCGGCCUUCUAAGUCGAACGUGAAAUCCCCGGGCUCAACCCGGGAACUGCGUCCGAUACUGGAAGGCUUGAAUCCGGGAGAGGGAUGUGGAAUUCCAGGUGUAGCGGUGAAAUGCGUAGAUAUCUGGAGGAACACCGGUGGCGAAGGCGGCCCACUGGUCCGGUACUGACGCUGAGGUGCGAAAGCGUGGGGAGCAAACAGG
This 253-nucleotide ribosomal RNA is filed under the name uncultured bacterium. RNAcentral describes it as "partial 16S ribosomal RNA". It matches the Rfam family "Bacterial small subunit ribosomal RNA", at positions 524 to 776 of the family's 1533-position model. The record is from RNAcentral.